This 253-nucleotide ribosomal RNA is filed under the name uncultured bacterium. Its description in RNAcentral is "partial 16S ribosomal RNA". It matches the Rfam family "Bacterial small subunit ribosomal RNA", at positions 524 to 776 of the family's 1533-position model. The record is from RNAcentral.
UACGUAGGGGGCAAGCGUUGUCCGGAUUUACUGGGCGUAAAGAGCGUGUAGGCGGCCAUGUAGGUCCGUUGUGAAAACUCGAGGCUCAACCUCGAGACGCCGAUGGAAACCAUGUGGCUAGAGUCCGGAAGAGGAGAGUGGAAUUCCUGGUGUAGCGGUGAAAUGCGCAGAUAUCAGGAGGAACACCUAUAGCGAAGGCAGCUCGCUGGGACGACACUGACGCUGAGACGCGAAAGCGUGGGGAGCGAACAGG